CGAAGGGGGCUAGCGUUGUUCGGAAUUACUGGGCGUAAAGCGAACGUAGGCGGUGUUCCAUGUCAGAGGUGAAAGCCUGGGGCUCAACUCCAGAAUUGCCUUUGAAACGGGGACGCUUGAGUCCGAGAGAGGAUGGCGGAAUUCCUAGUGUAGAGGUGAAAUUCGUAGAUAUUAGGAAGAACACCGGUGGCGAAGGCGGCCAUCUGGCUCGGUACUGACGCUCAGGUUCGAAAGCGUGGGGAGCAAACAGGAUUAGAUACCCUGGUAGUCCACGCCGUAAACGAUGAGUGCUAGUUGUUGGGAAGUUUACUUCUCAGUGACGCAGCUAACGCGAUAAGCACUCCGCCUGGGGAGUACGGCCGCAAGGUUA
Molecule: ribosomal RNA, 370 nt
Filed under: uncultured organism
Description: bacterial SSU rRNA
Rfam family: Bacterial small subunit ribosomal RNA
Source: RNAcentral